This is a long non-coding RNA of Anastrepha ludens (Mexican fruit fly), 983 nucleotides long. RefSeq lists it as uncharacterized. The record is from RefSeq and is a predicted model, not a curated record. NCBI's taxonomy places the organism in Eukaryota, Metazoa, Arthropoda, Insecta, Diptera, Tephritidae. The transcript is spliced from 4 exons.
UUCAAAGAUUUUAAUAGGUGACUUUUUGAAAAUGAAAAAACUAUCUCAACAAAUUUAGAGAUUUUAUUAAACUCAAGUAAGGUUCUCGAAGUAGGAGCAUUCUGGGCAUAAAGGGAUUUUAAAAGACCAACAUAGAAGAACUCCGACCUUCGCAGAGCUCUGGCCGGACUAUUAAAGAAAAUCCUCUCAAGAAGGAUCGGACAGUCAACAACCCCACGGAUUAAGUCGAAAAUGACAGAUAAAGAUAGGACUAUUCUCCUGACUUGCAAUGAUUUUAAGUUGACCAAUAAGCAUCGCGCUUCAUAUGUAGGGAUAGGAUCCGAAAAGCGUAAAUUACCCAACGCGAAAUGUAAGAAUACUUUCUAGAUUCGUUCAAUUUUAGCAGCAUGGCACGAAUAAUACGGAGACCAAAUGAAAGAUGCAUACUCCAGUUUGGAACGGACAAAUGUCGCAUACAAAAGCUUCAGCGUAUAAGGGUCGGAGAAAUCGGUGCUAUGAUGCCUAACAAAAACAAGCAUGGGGUGUUCUCGAAAUGUAAUAAGAGGAGUCAGUAAUGGAAAAGAGUCGAGGGACCUAGUAAUCGUCAAUAAAUCUCGUCGUCUGCAUGAACCAGGAAUCUUGCUGACGAGAAGCAAGAGUGAAUAUCAUUGAUAAACAGAACAAAAAGAAGCGGGUCCAGAAUACUACCUUGCGAAACCCUAGAGCAAGCAAACGAAAGGAAGAGACCUAACGUUGUCGACGACGACCAAACAAUGGCGAUUCUUAUUAUAUGGGAAACCCGCUCAAAGGCCUUAGAGAAGUCGGUAUAAACGGUGUCAAUCUGGUGUCCUGGUUGGAAGGCAGCGUUACAAUCAUCCGGACGCACCAUGUUCUUGACAGCAAAAAUCAAUUUGUCCUGGAUGAUCAUACAAAAAGCUUUGUAGUGGCGAAAAGCUUUGAAAUGGGCCUUUAGUUAUUAAUAUCAUUUUUAUUACCACUCUUGA